Molecule: ribosomal RNA, 173 nt
Filed under: bacterium
Lineage: Bacteria
Description: partial 16S ribosomal RNA
Rfam family: Bacterial small subunit ribosomal RNA
Source: RNAcentral
AGCAUGCGGAUUAAUUCGAUGUAACGGGAAGAUCCUUACCAAGACUUGGCAUAUACGAGAACGGGCCAGAAAUGGUCAACUCUUUGGACAAUCGUAAACAGGUGGUGCAUGGUUGUCGUCAGCUCGUGUCGUGAGAUGGUGGGUUAAGUCCCGCAACGAGCGCAACCCUCGUU